This 432-nucleotide ribosomal RNA is filed under the name uncultured bacterium. RNAcentral's name for it is "partial 16S ribosomal RNA". It matches the Rfam family "Bacterial small subunit ribosomal RNA", at positions 29 to 506 of the family's 1533-position model. The record is from RNAcentral.
AACGAACGCUGGCGGCAGGCUUAACACAUGCAAGUCGAACGGAUCCUUCGGGAUUAGUGGCAGACGGGUGAGUAACGCGUGGGAACGUACCCUUUGCUACGGAAUAACUCAGGGAAACUUGAGCUAAUACCGUAUGUGCCCUACGGGGGAAAGAUUUAUCGGCAAAGGAUCGGCCCGCGUUGGAUUAGCUAGUUGGUGGGGUAAUGGCCUACCAAGGCGACGAUCCAUAGCUGGUCUGAGAGGAUGAUCAGCCACACUGGGACUGAGACACGGCCCAGACCCCUACGGGGGGCAGCAGGGGGGAAUAUUGGAAAAGGGGCGCAAGCCGAAUCCAGCCAUGCCGGGUGAGUUAUGAAGGUCUUAGGACUGUAAAGCUCUUUCACCGGUGAAGAUAAUGACGGUAGCCGGGGAAGAAGCCCCGGCUAACUUCGU